Long non-coding RNA from Maniola jurtina (meadow brown), 153 nucleotides. RefSeq lists it as uncharacterized. Lineage: Eukaryota; Metazoa; Arthropoda; Insecta; Lepidoptera; Nymphalidae. The transcript has 3 exons. The record is from RefSeq and is a predicted model, not a curated record.
UACACAAUAACAUCAUUCGACUUCGUCCGUGUUGGUAUUGGCUGGCGGGCGUGCUCGCCUUUUUGGAGUGUUUUUUUUGUUAAAACUGACUGGAAAGCGGUCUAAGGGGGUGCCGUGCGUGUGUCGACGAGCGCCGGCACAGACGGGGUCCAU